UUUAAACUCUUCCAAUUUCUCUUGUUAUCUUUAAUUUAGCCCUGAGAUGGCAAUCAAAUGAAGGAAUUUCGAAUAUGCUAAUAGAUAGAGCUCGAGCGUUGAAAAUCCUAAAAAAUCUGGCGAAGUGACUUGGUUGUGGCGAAGAUUGUGGCUGAACGGGGAUGAAAAGAAAGAAAUCAUGGUUUAAUCUCUCCUUCGUGUUUAGUUAUCAUUCUCCAUACCUCAUAAAUUUAGCCUAACUCCCUUCUAGGUUUAUGAUAAAGUGGUUUUGUUAUCUGUUCAUCCGGAGCGAUUGCUUCUUCUUCCAUUGCUGCUUCACUACCGACGAUGACCUUCAAGGAAAAGAAAGUCUUUCGAUGGUGGCUUAUUUGAAUAAACAUGAACUGGAUGGGUAAAGAUCUUCAGACAACAUUCCCAUGGUGAGACACCAGGCUUUGGGAGCUUACAUAUGUGGUACGAUUUACGCUAAAUAGUUGUUUCAAGAAAUAGACCUAGUCAAGAGUACCGAUCCUUGCUUUGUCUAUCCCUCUUCUUUCUUAUCGAGCUCCCAUUAUGCAGGAGGCCCUUUAUUAGGCUUGGAUGAUAUUUAAAGGGUUGGGGGUGAGUUGCUCCUCGACUCAGGAAACUGUUUCGAGAAUCACACACACAACAAGAACCAGGAGAUAAUUAAAGUAAAAAGUGCAGUAGUACAGAAAGGUAAAGAACUGGGUUUUUACGUGGAAACUCCUUACUCAAGGGAGAAAAACCACGACCUUCCUCCAGGAUUUCAAGCUAUACUAUAUUCAAGAAACCCCUUGAAUACAGACUCCAAGGAUUAGCCUCCUAAUCCUUCAUUUCCUAGCAAUAACUCUAUUACAAGGAAAUCAAGCAGUAACUUUACUGCUUCCACCCUCCAACUACCUCUAGCUGGACUCCUCAAGUUAACCCUAGCUUGACACAAUCACCUAACUCUAGUUGAUUUCAAGAGACGGGUACACCACAACCCCUACUGCAAUUAUAAGCAAUGUAGGCAGACUUUUAAGAACAAAAUUACAAAGACUCGACUAUAACAAGGAAGUAAAGAUCAACGAUGAGCAAUAAGUUCCCUGCUACAGUUACAGUCUUUUAUUACAAUGCUAC
This 1119-nucleotide long non-coding RNA is filed under the name Capsicum annuum. Its description in RNAcentral is "long non-coding RNA (CANN_LNC012425)". The record is from RNAcentral. Lineage: Eukaryota; Viridiplantae; Streptophyta; Magnoliopsida; Solanales; Solanaceae.